CCCAUGGCCAGGGUGAGGUGUGGGCAGAGCCCCACGUCCCCUCCAUGCCAGGGGGACACGGGUCUGGUGCUGAGGGGGUUUUGGGCAGAGCUGCAGCUCUGGUUUGGGUUGGAAGGAACCUCAAAGCUCCUCUCAUUCCACCAGACCAGGCUGAUUUUCAUUUUUUCUCCUCCAGCUGGCUUUGUCUCGGAACUCUCCUUGAGAAAAAUGGAUUUUAUCCAACCAAUGAAGCCAGCCUGGCACCAGAAUCACCCCGCUCACCCCAAAUGCGGUGGCCCUGGAUGGCCCUGCCAGCGCAGGCACCGGGACAUCGACCCGUGGGAUGUUUCCCUGCUGAGUCACGGGGGAGCAGCCCCAUGGGGCUUUGCCCGGUCGGAGGAAAGGAUUUGGAAAGGAUUUGCUUUGGAACAGGCCAGCAGGUCACGGCAAAGCAAACAGCUCCCGAAGGACUGGAGAUAUCCCAGCGCGGCCGGGACGGGAUGCAAAUGUCCCGAGAGAACAAAUAAACAGGCGGAGAGGCAGCUCCCGCGGGCAGCAGGGAAUCCUGGAAUCCACAGCAGGAGAGGAGGGGAUCGGCCCCUUGGCUCCAGGGCACAGCGGCAGCACCACGCGGAGCUGCUGGAGCCGGUCCCCAGCUGCUCCUGUCCCCGUGUGCCACCUCCACCGGGCUUGAAAUCCCCCCAGGGAUCCCUCCAGCCCUUCCCACAAAGAAAUUUUCCCAGCGUCCAACCAAAAUCUCUCUGGUGCAUCUUGAGGCCACUUCCUCUGGGAUGGAUGGGGAGACCUCGGCAUUGUUGUCCCCAUCUCAUUCUCCACCGGGGACAGCCCAGAGUUCCCCAGAGCCCAGGACAAGGCUGGGGAUGAUUUUUCCUGCAGGCCUGCCUGGCUUUCCUCCAGCUCCGGGUGGAUUCCUGCAGUCGCAGGUCAGCUGGAUGUUCUGUGCCGCUCCACACGCCCCAGCUCCCCUUGUCAGCUCCACAAACCCAUCAGGCCCAGCCAGAUAACGCGCCCAGGCUCUGCCAUCUCUCCCCAGAUCUGCGGAUAUUCCAAGCCUCUCUAAGCUCCGGGCUGGAUUUUUCAGGCGGGCAGAUGAUGACUUCAAAGGCACCGGUGCUCAUCGGAUGGAAAAUCUGCGGCUGCCUGGUGGGAGAGGGGAGGUGGCACUGCCCAGCCCCUGCAGAGCCCGCUGUCACCUGGACAGAGACACCCGGAGUUUCCAAGGGGCUGCCUUUGGGAUGAGAACACAAAUCCAGGCUUCACCCACCUUCCCAGGGCUGUUAAAAUUCCCGGUUUAACAGGGGAGAAGGAGGAGGAGGAAGGUUUGCUUUGAUUUCCACAUCCCUGCGGAUUUGUGCACAAAGGGUUUGGGGAUGAAACUCCUCUCUGCUGCAGGAAUAAACAUUCUGCCCCAAAACA
RNAcentral lists this long non-coding RNA (1416 nucleotides) under Cyanistes caeruleus (blue tit). RNAcentral describes it as "lncRNA (ENSCCEG00000007095.1)". Lineage: Eukaryota; Metazoa; Chordata; Aves; Passeriformes; Paridae. The record is from RNAcentral.